RNAcentral lists this ribosomal RNA (869 nucleotides) under uncultured archaeon. RNAcentral describes it as "bacterial SSU rRNA". It matches the Rfam family "Archaeal small subunit ribosomal RNA", at positions 1 to 878 of the family's 1478-position model. The record is from RNAcentral.
CCCUUGGUGAUCCCGCCGGACCUGACUGCUAUCGGAUUGGUACUAAGCCAUGCGAGUCGUUGUAGCAAUACAAGGCGGACGGCUCAGUAACACGUAGUCAACCUAACCUAUGGACGUGGAUAACCUCGGGAAACUGAGAAUAAACCGCGAUAGAUCAUUAUGCCUGGAAUGGCUUAUGGUUCAAACAAUUUAUUGCCGUAGGAUGGGACUGCGGCCUAUCAGCUUGUUGGUGAGGUAAUGGCCCACCAAGGCUAUAACAGGUACGGGCUCUGAGAGGAGAAGCCCGGAGAUGGGUACUGAGACACGGACCCAGGCCCUAUGGGGCGCAGCAGGCGAGAAACCUUAGCAAUGUGCGAAAGCACGACUAGGUUAAUCCGAGUGAUUUCUGUUGAAGAAAUCUUUUGUCAGUCGUAAAACCACAGACGAAUAAGGGGUGGGCAAGUCUGGUGUCAGCCGCCGCGGUAAUACCAGCACCUCGAGUGGUCAGGAGGUUUAUUGGGCCUAAAGCAUCCGUAGCCGGCUACGCAAGUCUCCGGUUAAAUCCAGCUGCUCAACAGAUGGGCUGCCGGAGAUACUACAUAGCUAGGGAGCGGGAGAGGUAGACGGUAUUCUGUGGGUAGGGGUAAAAUCCACUGAUCCAUAGAGGACCACCAGUGGCGAAGGCGGUCUACCAGAACGCGUUCGACGGUGAGGGAUGAAAGCUGGGGGAGCAAACCGGAUUAGAUACCCGGGUAGUCCCAGCUGUAAACGAUGCAAACUCGGUGAUGCAUUGGCUUAUGGCCAAUGCAGUGCCGCAGGGAAGCCGUUAAGUUUGCCGCCUGGGAAGUACGGACGCAAGUCUGAAACUUAAAGGAAUUGGCGGGGGAGCA